GAUGAACGCUGGCGGCGUGCCUAAUACAUGCAAGUCGAGCGAACGGACGAGAAGCUUGCUUCUCUGAUGUUAGCGGCGGACGGGUGAGUAACACGUGGAUAACCUACCUAUAAGACUGGGAUAACUUCGGGAAACCGUAGCUAAUACCGGAUAAUAUUUUGAACCGCAUGGUUCAAAAGUGAAAGACGGUCUUGCUGUCACUUAUAGAUGGAUCCGCGCUGCAUUAGCUAGUUGGUAAGGUAACGGCUUACCAAGGCAACGAUGCAUGGCCGACCUGAGAGGGUGAUCGGCCACACUGGAACUGAGACACGGUCCAGACUCCUACGGGAGGCAGCAGUAGGGAAUCUUCCGCAAUGGGCGAAAGCCUGACGGAGCAACGCCGCGUGAGUGAUGAAGGUCUUCGGAUCGUAAAACUCUGUUAUUAGGGAAGAACAGAUGUGUAAGUAACUGUGCACAUCUUGACGGUACCUAAUCAGAAAGCCACGGCUAACUACGUG
Molecule: ribosomal RNA, 497 nt
Filed under: uncultured bacterium
Lineage: Bacteria
Description: partial 16S ribosomal RNA
Rfam family: Bacterial small subunit ribosomal RNA
Source: RNAcentral